RNAcentral lists this long non-coding RNA (16772 nucleotides) under Lactuca sativa (garden lettuce). RNAcentral describes it as "long non-coding RNA (LSAT_LNC001590)". Lineage: Eukaryota; Viridiplantae; Streptophyta; Magnoliopsida; Asterales; Asteraceae. The record is from RNAcentral.
GUGAGUUAUCCUCACUAUACUAGGGGGUCUAAGGCACCAAGGCCGACCUAUUGGAUAUGCUAUCCUAGUAGUGUUAAAUGUUGAGUAUGAGUUAGUGUUGCAUGCUACUUGUUAUGCAAGUUAGGUAGACUUGUAGGACUACCUGUGAUGUUAUAUGAUUAUUGCAUACUCAGUAGUUACGUUAUAUGUUAUGUGGGUUGGGUUGAGGUUGUACUGCUCCAUGCGGUAGCCAACAAACCCUUGAGUAUUCCAGAUAUCAGCUGAGGGCCCGAUAGGCAUUCCAGAAUCAUAUUGAGGACUCGGGAGUAUGCUAGAUAUGAGCUGAGGGCCCGGUAGGCAUUUCGGACUCAUACUGAGGACUCGGGAGCAUUCCAGAUACGAGCUGAGGGUCCGGUAGGCAUUCCAAACUUGUACUGAGGGCUCGAUGGCAAUCCAGAUACGAGCUGAAGGCCUGGUAGGCAUUCUAGACUCGUACUUAGGGCUUGGUGGCAAUCCAGAUGUGAGCUGAGGGCUCGGUAGGCAUUCUAGACUAACACAGUGGGCCUAGGGGUAUUCCAGUCUGUAGAGUUGUGGACCCGUUACUUGCUGUUCUGUUUUAUUGAUAUGAUAUGCUAAUGUUGAUAUUGCUAUGUGGACUGUAUGUGUAUCGGUAUUUUGGGGGUAACUCACUAAGCUUUCGGGCCUACAGUUUCAGUUUAUUGUUUCAGGUACAUCAGAGGAUCGCGGCAAGGCGAAGGGGUGAUCAUACCGCUCCUCCUAUUAUAUUUAUGUUUCUGGGAAAAACUCUGAUAACUAAUAUUUUGAAAACAAGGUUGUAAUGUUUUUGAUGAACUUGAUAUGUAUAAAAAGUUUAAAUUCAUUUGAAAUUUUUGGGUGUGUCAAGUUGGUAUCAGAGCCUUGGUUUGAGUGAAUUGGAAGAACGUUCGUGUGAAUCCAGUCUCAAAUCAAGGUAAGAUUUUGAAAAUGGUUUUCAAAAUAAUUAAUUGAGGAUGCGAAGUGUACGAUCAGCCGGAGCCAUUAUGUGAUAUCAUAGAACAACAUGUUAGUACUAGACUAGCGAUCUUCAGGAAUUGCAUGGUGAAAUUGCUUGAUUACAUGAUGCCUGCUAGCCUAGGGUUUCUCUUAUGUGAAAUUGACAUCAUUACUGUAGUUAUCUAGUGUAGGCAUCAUGGUUAUACAUAACUAAGAUCUUAUAGCCUAAGAAUGUUUGAUUUGGCCUUAUGUUAUGUUCUUGUUUGAUUGGGAGCUUAGGGUAGGAUUGAAUAUUCGAAAGUCUAUAGGGUCCAAAGUUAUGUAUGGCUAGCUUACACUAGUGCUGCAAGGUUGGUGGAAGUUUUGCGGAUGGAUAGGUUGUUUGGGAGGUGGUCGCCUACUUCGAGGCACUUAGCCUUAUUCUAGGGGUGAAGUUUGAGUGCUCGAUGUGAUUAUGUGUGUCGUUAGGGCUUUGUGAUGAUACUUGGGACAAAUAUGGGUAGGUGUGGAAGGUAGUAUGGGCUCGUACUACUAAAAGCACAGGACCCAUACGCGUAACAAGGAAGUCACAAACCCUAGGGUUUUGUCGGGGGUUGGUCCCAGUUAUUUGUAUGGGUUACCUGAUGCCUGGUGUUAUGUUUCAGAAUGGUGAUAACCAAGCACUUUGUGACUGGAUCCGGUUCGGGAUUAGCAUCAGGAUCAGGAGAGGGCGGACAGGGGGAACUGACAGCACCCGAGACGAUCGGCCAGAUGAGAUGGAUGACAGUAUCCGAGCGAUCCUGCACGAUGAGGUUGUUGCGCUGUUCUGGGCCGAGUUGCCGGAGAUGUUCGGGUCGAUUAAGACCGCCAUGGUGGAGUAUUUUGAUUAGCACUACGCAACCCUCGCAGAGACAGCCGCCGCAGCACCUGCAUCAACUGUAUCUACGGCAGGGGGAGGAGUUGGUAGGGGUUUUCAGUACUGGUACUUCGACAACAUGAAACCCCCUACUUUUGAAGGGACACAGGAUCCCAUUAAGGCUAUGAGAUGGAUUUCAGAUGUGGAGGGGUGUUUCUUCACCUGCUCGUGUCCAACUGACCAAAAGGUCAGGUGUUCUCUGAACCUGCUUUGGUUCAGAGCGAAGGAUUGGCGGAGACUUGCGACUGGGGCUUAGACUGACGAUCAGAGGGUUGCUGUUACUUGGGAGUAGUUCAAGAAUAUGUUCCGCACUCGUUACAUUCCAAGAGUCGAGUGGGAACGAAUGGCACAAGAGUUUCUGAGUUUGAGGCAGGAUGGAUGUAACAACGCAAAUUUUCAAACAAAUUUUUCAUUUCAAAAAUAAAGUAUUUUCAUUCAAACUAAGCAUAAUUAUUCCAAGUGUUAUGUCAAAAUACAAUUCAUAGAAUUCCCAAGAUCUCAAAACAUCAAUCAGUGUGUACACAUCACGCCGGCGCCUUCCCACGGUCCUCGCUAGUACCUGAAACACAUACAUAACAACUGUAAGCAUAAAUGCUUAGUGAGUUCCCCAAUAUACAACUUACGCACAUACGCCUUUCCAGGCCCUGACCUUCCGGUCCAUAAGUCUCAGGGGACUUCCGUCCCUGCUGGGUAAACCUUCCGGUCCUACCCACGCCGACCUUCCGGUCCAUCACACAACAUAUUGCCUUCCGGCCCAUAACAUAUUGCCUUCCGGCCCAUAACAUAAUCGCCUUCCGGCCCAUAACAUAUAUAACAAACAGCUUACCAAAUAUAGCAUACAUAUCACAUAUCAUAUCUGACCUUCCGGUCAUACAGUCAAACCCUUCCGGGUACAGUAUAGUGAGAAGACUCACCUCGUGAAUGCUGAAAGCUAGCAAAUCCUGAAAUCACUCGUGCUCAAUCCGUCGAGCUACAACCUCCCUAUAGCAUCACAUAUAUCUCAUUAACACUUAUAUCUUCUAAGUGUGACUAUCCCUAAGAAGUCAGACUUAGGUCAACUCUGGUCAACGGUCAACGGUCAACUCGACCGGACUCGGCGAGUGCCAUGGCGACUCGGCGAGUCUAGACGUCCUCCAACUCUCUGAGAUUCCCUAUCUACUCGUCGAGUAUCCUCCUUGACCCGACGAGUUACUCCUGGAAGAAUCGCGGGGCCACCCCGACUCAACUCGCCGAGUCUGAAGAACAACUCGACGAGUCCCAGUUAAUCUUCAAGCUACUCGCCGAGUCUGUUCAUCGAACUCGGCGAGUCCAUGCCAUGCAACCGCUCAAACUGCAUCCUAAGGUCAGAACUGCUUCGACCAUUCCUAGGUCUGGCCUUCCUAGGCUGAUCCAUCACGUAAAGUCCUCAUUUCAGUGCUCAUGAUACACCAUAUGAUUCAUAAUUUACAUUUUGACCUAAGGCAUAAGGAUUCCAAUCCAAAACCUUCAUCAAUUCCCGAAAUGCACAGACAUGGGACAUUCUGGACCUCCAAAGGUCCCAAUACAGGGUUACAAUCGAUUAGGGGACUAGGGUAACAUUCAAUCUAUUCACAAAAGGGUUCCAUAAACCCUAAUUCCAUAAUCACAUCAACAUAGCAGAGUAUACUCGAAUUCUUACCUGGAUGAUGUAUUCUCUGUGUCCCCAAUCCUCAGAAUGUGACUCCCUUGCUGUUCCUUUAGCCAAUCCCUUCUCUUCCUUGCACAACAACUCUUCUAUAAUCAACAAUGGCCUAUAAUCCUUGCUCCAGAUGCACACAAUCGAUUUAGGGUUCUUCUCAGAAGGCUAAAAUGAACAAUGACGGCCAAUAAGUCUCCUUUAUACGUCCCAAACCUGAACGGUUAGGGUUUUCGCUAAACAGCGUAGACUCGCCGAGUCCAUAUCUGGACUCGUCGAGUCCAGUCGCGAACCCGCGACCAAGUCUGCGAUCCUACUCGGCGAGUCUAGGCUCCAACUCGCCGAGUCCCCUCUUAAAUCACCCCAAAAACAUAAUUUAACAAUACCUGAGAUUCCGGGCUGUUACAACUCUCCCCCACUAGGAUUAGACUUCGCCCUCGAAGUCUCACUCUGAAAAUAGUUCCGGAUGCUGCUCCCGCAUCUCACGUUCCGGCUCCCAAGUCAUUUCCGAUCCCUUACGGUGUUGCCACUGAACCAACACCAGAGGUACCUCCUUGUUCCUCAGAACCUUGAUCUUCCGAUCCCUGAUGGCCACUGGUCUCUCAGCAUAAUUCAGGCUCGCAUCCACCUGAAUAUCCUCCAAUGGAACCACUGCCGACUCAUCGGCUAUGCACUUCCUCAAUUGCGACACAUGAAAAGUGUCGUGGAUCUGUCCCAACUCCGCUGGCAACUCCAACCGAUAGGCUACCCGGCCUAUCCUUGCAAUCACACGAAAUGGCCCAAUAUACCGGGGCCCCAACUUGCCCCUCUUCCUGAAUCGAAUCACUCCUUUCCAAGGAGAGACCUUCAGGAGAACGAAGUCGCCGACUUGAAACUCAAGCUCGGAUCGGCGCCUGUCUGCAUAACUCUUCUGUCGGCUCUGGGCGGUCAAUAACCUCUGUCUAACUUGCUGAAUCUGCUCUGUCGUCUGAAGCACGAUCUCUGUGCUGCCCAUCACUCUCUGUCCCACCUCUCCCCAGCAAAUGGGGGUCCGACACCUCCUACCAUACAACAGCUCAAAAGGUGGCAUACCAAUGCUCGAAUGAUGGCUGUUGUUGUAGGAAAACUCUGCCAAGGGUAAAUAUGCAUCCCAGCUACCCCCGAAGUCUAACACACACGCUCGAAGCAUGUCCUCCAGCGUCUGAAUCGUCCGCUCGCUCUGACCGUCUGUCUGGGGAUGGUAUGCGGUACUAAAAUGCAAUUUAGUACCCAGCUCCUCAUGGAAUUUCUUCCAGAACCUGGAAGUGAAGCGCACAUCACGGUCUGAAACAAUCGAGAUCGGCACCCCAUGCCGAGAUACCACUUCUCUCACAUAUAUCUCCGCCAACUUCUCCGCUGAAGAACUCUCGCUGAUGGCAAGGAAGUGUGCACUCUUCGUCAACCUAUCCACAAUCACCCAAAUUGCAUCAACUCCCCUGGCAGUCCUCGGCAAUUUGGUGAUGAAAUCCAUAGUGAUCUGUUCCCACUUCCACUCGGGGAUCUCCAAUGGCUGUAACUUGCCAUGCGGUCUCUGGUGCUCGGCCUUAACCCUACGGCAGGUCAAGCACCUCUCAACGAACCAUGCAACGUCCCUCUUCAUACAGGGCCACCAAUACUCUUUCCUCAAAUCCAAAUACAUCUUCGUAGCACCGGGAUGGAUCGAGAAUUUCGAUCUAUGAGCCUCUUCCAUCAAAGUAAUACGCGUACCGCCCACGAACGGUACCCAAAUCCGACCCUGAAACGUCAUAAGCCCUCGUCCAUCCUUAACGAACUCUGAAAUUAACCCAACGACCCGCUCUUUCUUCUGCAUCUCUGGUCGCACAGCCUCGGCCUGUGCCCCACGAAUAGCAUCCAAUACUGGAGUCAUCACAGUCAGUCUCAAGCAUACAUCUCGCAAUGGAGUGCUCUCCGCCCUGCGGCUCAAUGCAUCGGCUACCACAUUAGCCUUGCCUGGGUGGUACAGGAUCUCACAAUCAUAAUCCUUGACCACAUCCAACCACCUCCUCUGACGCAUAUUUAGGUUGGGCUGAUCCAUCAAAUACUUCAAGCUCUUAUGGUCCGUGUAUAUCGUACAUCGAACCCCAUACAGGUAGUGACGCCAAAUCUUGAGAGCGAACACUACUGCCCCCAACUCUAAAUCAUGCGUGGGAUAUCUCGCCUCAUGAGGCUUCAGCUGCCUCGACGCAUAAGCUAUCACAUGACCCCUCUGCAUCAACACUGCACCCAGUCCCGAAAUCGAUGCGUCGCAAUAUACUACAAAAUCUUCCAUCCCUUCCGGGAGAGCUAAUACCGGGGCUUCGCACAACCUCUGGCGAAGUGUCUCAAAGGAGGUCUGCUGCUCGGGCCCCCAUGAGAAUGCAACACCCUUCCGGGUCAAUCUGGUGAGCGGCACUGCGAUCUUGGAGAAAUCCUUAAUGAAUCUCCGAUAAUACCCUGCCAACCCAAGGAAGCUCCUGAUCUCAGAGGGUGACUUCGGCACCUCCCAACUCAUCACCGCCUCAACCUUGGCCGGAUCGACCAAUAUCCCUUUCUGAUUAACAACAUGUCCUAGAAAUUGGACCUCCCGCAACCAGAAGUCACAUUUGGAGAACUUUGCAUAAAGCUUCUCCGACCUCAAUACCUCAAGGACCUCCCUCAAAUGCUCCUCAUGCUGCUCUCUAGAUCUCGAAUACACCAGAAUGUCGUCGAUAAAUACAAUCACUGACCGAUCCAACAUCGGCCUGCAUACCCUGUUCAUGAGAUCCAUGAACACAGCCGGGGCAUUGGUGAGCCCGAAAGGCAUCACCACAAACUCAUAAUGCCCAUAUCGCGUCCUAAACGCUGUCUUCUGGACGUCCUCAUCCCGCACUCUCACCUGAUGGUACCCUGACCUCAGAUCGAUCUUGGAAAACCAAGAUGCUCCCUGCAACUGAUCGAAUAAAUCAUCGAUCCUCGGUAACGGGUAACGGUUCUUGACCGUCAACUUGUUCAACUCCCGGUAAUCAAUGCACAUCCGGUGUGAACCAUCCUUCUUCUUGACGAACAGAAUAGGUGCUCCCCACGGCGAGCUGCUCGGCCGAAUGAAUCCCUUCCCCAGCAACUCCUGGAGCUGCGAGGACAACUCUUGCAUCUCUGGAGGUGCAAGACGAUAAGGCACCUUAGCAAUAGGCGCGGCCCCCGGAACCAGAUCGAUACCAAACUCUACUUGCCUCACAGGAGGUACUCCCGGCAGCUCCUCGGGGAAAACAUCUGGAAACUCACGCACCACUGGGACCUCCUCAACUGACCUCGGUCUCUCGGAAACCUCCCGCGUAUCCAUCACAUACGCCACAAAACCCUUACAGCCCUGCUGUAGACACUGCCUCGCCCUAGCGGCCGAACAAAAAGCUGAUCCCGAACGGGUACCCUCGCCGUACACCGAAAGAACUCCCCCACUAUGGUCUCGUAUAGUCACCAGCUGACGCUCACAGUCGAUGACAGCGCCGAAUCGGCUCAACCAGUCCAUGCCCACGAUGACACAGACAUCACCCAUCGCAAUAGGAAUCAGGUCAAUCGGGAAUUCAACCCCGAAAAUCUCUAGUACACAUCCCCGAAGAACCUCCGUGGCACAAAUCACUUUCUCGUCAGCUAUAGAAACUCUCAAAGGUCGACUCAACGACUCACGACUAACGCUGAUAUGCUGACUAAAGGCUAAGGACACAAAGGACCUACUCGCACCCGAGUCAAAUAACACUAAGGCAGGCACAGAGUUCACAAGGAAAGUACCUACGCAUAUAAUAACAUAAGCAUAACAUCUCGACAUUAAAAUAAAUACAUGAAUUACAACAUACCUGCCACGACAUCGGGCGCAGCGCGGACCUCCUCCGCAGUCAGCUGAAAGGCUCUCCCACGAGCCCUCGGGGCCUCGACCUUCACCGGUCGAGUCUCAGUAGUCCUGGCAGUAGGUGCAGAUCCCUGACGAAGCUGAGGGCACUCGGCCUUCCGAUGGCCGGUCUGGUUGCAAUGAAAGCAAACCGUAAAUCCCUUGGGACACUCCCUAGCAAUGUGCCCCUCCUUGCCACACUUGUAGCAAGCACCAGAUCGACACGCCCCCUCAUGACCCUUGCCGCACUUUCCGCAAGUGCGGCCCUUCGAACCUCCUUUGCUCGCAUCGGCGGACUUUAUCCGCUUGGCUGCCGGCUGGAACUGAGCCGGUCGCCGGUCCACCCGCUGAGACUCGGCCUCCUCCCUGGCCUGGGUCUCCAACUCGAUCUCGCGCUUCCUGGCAUUCGCCUGAAGCUCAGCAAAAGUAUGGUAGGUGGAGUUCGACACAAACUCCCGGAUAUCCCUCCUCAACACUCCCAAGUACCGGCUCAUCCGAGCCUGAUCAGUGGACACCAGCUCGGGGCAGAACAUCGCCCUCUCAUGAAACUUCCGCGUGAUCACCGCAACAGAAUCAGUACCCUGCUUGAGGGUUAAGAACUCCUGAACCAAUCGUUCCCUCUCCACCGGGGGAACGUACUCAUCCCUGAACAUGGCAGUAAACCCCUCCCAUGUCACUGCUGUAGUCUCUGCCAAAGUGAAGUUCGCCGUCACGAACUUCCACCAGUCCUUCGCUCCCAGACGGAGCUGGUUCAAAGCGAACCGUACCCUCAGGUGCUCCGGGCAUGAACAAGUGUAGAAGCACCCCUCUAUAUCCGCGAUCCACCUCAUCGCAGCAAUCGGAUCCUGCGUCCCAUCGAACUCUGGUGGCUUCGUGUUGCUGAACUCUCGGAACAGCAACGAGUCACCCCCCUGUGGCCUAGCAGCGGCCACAGCUGCGGUAGCUGCAGCGGUUGCAGCCUCAGUCAAUGCGGCGUACCGCUCAUCGAACGUCUCCAUCAGGGUGGUCUUAAUAGACCCAAACAUCUCCGGGAUCUCAGCCCGGAUCGCCGCAGCUACCUCCUCGUGAAUCAUCUGACGAAUCUCCUCGUCACUCACACCGCUCGAACUCGCUCCGUGGCGUGGUCUAACCAUGAUGUCUCUGAAAUACAACAUAAAACUAUCAGAGACUCCAUCGAGUAUAAUCGUACUCGAUAACGCAACCCUACUCAGUCUCCGAUAUCCAGGGAUUCUUACUUGGGUCUCCCACUGACCCGGUGUCUUCGGUAGUACGGGCCCAAUACUACCGACCACACCGCAUCAGCAUUCAUCCCAAGUCUUCCUCCCCAAACCCCGGAUAGUGAGUACUCUACUUCUGAUAUGCACUAUCUACCCGCACACUAGCAAAGCAUCUCAUAUCGGCAAACUUCCCUAGACUAAGGCAUCACAAAUCAGGCCACUCUAGUCCUAUCAUGAAUACCUAGUCUUCUAGCAUGCAUAACAAUUUAUAUCAUAUAAUAUUGUAAGGUAUUUUGGGGAUCUUUACCGUUCGGGCGCUGACUGAUCGUACACACUGCUUCUUUCUUGCUUACCACAAAACCAUUUACAAAAGUUUAUGCCUUUAUUUAAAAAGUUUCCCCCAAAUCCUCGGUUUGAGUUCAGUUACUCCCGAAGGUGCACCCGAAUCCCUCAAACCAAGGCUCUGAUACCAAUUGUAACAACGCAAAUUUUCAAACAAAUUUUUCAUUUUAAAAAUAAAGUAUUUCCAUUCAAAACAAGGCAUAAAUAAUUUAAGUGUCAUGUCAAAUACAAAUUGUCUAAAUCCCAAGAUCAUAAAAACAUUCUUCAGUGUGUACCGAUCACGCCGGCGCCUUCCCACGGUCCUCGCUAGUACCUGAAACACAUACAUAACAACUGUAAGCAUAAAUGCUUAGUGAGUUCCCCAAUAUACAACUUACGCACAUACGCCUUUCCAGGCCCUGACCUUCCGGUCCUCAACACAACGCCUUCCGGCCCAUAACAUAAUCGCCUUCCGGCCCAUAACAUAUUGCCUUCCGGCCCACAUAACAUACAUAGCACAUAUAACAAAUAACUUACCACAUAUAGCAUACAUAUCACAUAUCAUAUCUGACCUUCCGGUCACACAGUCAAACCCUUCCGGGUACAGUAUAGUGAGAAGACUCACCUCGUGAAUACUGAAAGCUAGCAAAUCCUGAAAUCACUCGUGCUCGAUCCGCCGAGCUACAAACUCCCUAUAACAUCAUAUAUCUCUUAUUAACACUUUUAUCUUCUAAGUUAACUGACCCUAAGAAGUCACACAUAGGUCAACUCUGGUCAACGGUCAACGGUCAACUCGACCGGACUCGGCGAGUGCCAUGGCGACUCGGCGAGUCUAGACGUCCUCCAAUUCUCUAAGAUUCCCCUUCUACUCGUCGAGUAUCCUCCUUGACCCGACGAGUUACUCCUGGAAGAAUCGCGGGGCCACCCCGACUCAACUCGCCGAGUCUGAAGAACAACUCGACGAGUCCCAGUUAUUCUUCAAGCUACUCGCCGAGUCUGUUCAUCGGACUCGGCGAGUCCAUGCCAUGCAACCGCUCAAACUGCUUCCUAAGGUCAGAACUGCUCCGACCAUUCAUAGGUCUGGCCUUCCUAGACUGGUCCAUCACGUAAGGUCCUCAUUUCGGUGCUCAUGAUACACCCCAAGACUUAUAAUUUACAUAUUGACCUAAGGCAUAAGGAUUCCAAUCCAAAACCUUCAUCAAUUCCCGAAAUGCACAGGCAUGGGACAUUCUGGACCUCCAAAGGUCCCAAUACGGGGUUACAAUCGUUUGGGGGACUAGGGUAACAUUCAAUCUAGCCACAAAAGGGUUCCAUAAACCCUAAUUCUCUAAACACAUCACCAUAGCAGAGUAUACUCGAAUUCUUACCUGGAUGAUGUACUCUCUGUGUCCCCAAUCCUCAGAACGUGACUCCCUUGCUGUUCCUUUAGCCAAGCCCUUCUCUUCCUUGCACAACAACUCCUUCAAAAUCACCAAUGGCCUUUAACCUUGCUCCAGAUGCACACAAUCGAUUUAGGGUUCCUCUCAGAAGGCUAAAAUGAACAAUGACGGCCAAUAAGUCCCUUUUAUACGUCCCAAACCUGAACGGUUAGGGUUUUCGCUAAACAGCGCAGACUCGCCGAGUCCAUAUCUGGACUCGUCGAGUCCAGUCGCGAACCCGCGACCAGGUCUGCGAUCCUACUCGGCGAGUCUAGGCUCCAACUCGCCGAGUCCCCUCUUAAAACAACCCAAAAACAUAAUUUUAACAAUACCUGAGAUUCUGGGCUGUUACAAUGGAGAGUCGGUGACGGAGAUCACCUUUAUGUUCACUGAGCGGGCAAUGUUCUGCCUAGAUUUUGCUUCCAAGCAAUCUUAGAUGACCCAUUAUUUGAGUAUGCUUAAGACUGAUAUCCGUCAGUUUGUAGCUACCCAGCAGUGUGAUACUCUUCUGGAGUUGCAGGAUGUCUCCAGACGGCGAGAGUUAGAGAUUGAGCUGCAGCUAAGGGAGCAGCGGCCGGCCUCGGUACUGUCACAGCCGGCACCGAAGCGGCCUAAGACCGUUGAUGCUAGGACCGGGGGUCAGUAGGGCCGCACUUGUGGGAAGUGUGGCAAGGGACAUUCUGGUGUAUGUCGUGCUGGUAGUGGGUGCCAGAAGUGUGGCAAGGAGGAGCAUUACGCGAAGGAUUGUCGCCAGGCUGCCCCAGUCCGUGGUAUGAGGCUAUGUUAUCACUGCAACCAGGUCAGCCACAUGAAGGCCAACUUCCCACUACUUGUCGCCAAGUCGGUGCAGGCUGCAGCACCGGCUACCUUGAGGACCACAGAUAGGAGACCAGUCAGGGUAGAGCCUCCAAAGGCUUAGGGUUGUGUUUCCAGCUUACGGCGGAGGAGGCCAGAGCAGCACUAGAUGUGGUUGCUGGUAUGUUUCUAUCCUCAUCUUGUUUUAUUUAUCUGUUAUAUGCUUAUCUGUUGUACCUGUGAUUAGGUACGUCUUUGGUGAACUCUUUUCCCACUUUGGUCUUAUUUAACUCGGGGGCGAGUCGAUUUUUCGUGUCACAGUCUUUUAGUAGGGAGUUCCGGCGAGUUGGAGUGUCCGUUACGAUUAUCUAUCGCCAAUGAACAUGGGGUUUCCGCUUCUUCAGUUUAUCGAGGAUGUGACUUGGAGAUUUUCGGGGUGUCUUUCCCGAUAGACUUAAUCCCGAUUCUCAUGGGGGAGGUGUGCGUGAUUGUGGCCAUGGAUUGGCUCAGUAAGUUCGGUGCUAUGAUUGAUUGCGAGGGCCAGCGAGUGGUAAUUCGAACCCCAAGUGGGGGAGAACUGAUUAUAUAUGGGGAGGGAACCAGAGUAGGCUCAGGUUUUUUUUCAGCUGCCAAAGCUCGGCAUUACAUUCAGCAUGGGUGUACGAGUUAUCAAGCGUACGUGGUAGAUAUGCGAGUCGGGGACCAGAAAUUGGUUUCCGAUGUACCAGUGGUCAGGGAAUUUGCAGAUUUGUUUCCGAAGGAGUUGCCAGGGAUACCUCCGGAGAGGCAGGUCGAGUUCAGGAUCGACCUGGUGCCAGGUGCGGCCCUUAUCAGUAAGGCGCUGUACCAGUUAGCGCCACCAGAGAUGCAGGAGCUGUCAUCACAACUACAGGAACUGUUGGGCAAACAGUUCAUCCGACCUAGCAGAUCUCCAUGGGGAGCGCCGAUUCUCUUUGUCCGGAAGAAGGACGGUUCGCACCGGAUGUGAAUGGAUUACCGAGAGUUGAACAAGCUAAUAGAAAAAAACCGUUACCCACUCCCAAGGAUAGAUGAUCUCUUCGAUCAGUUGCAGGGCGCAUCUUGGUUUUCCAAGAUAGAUUUGAUAUAUGGGUAUCACCAGGUCAGGGUCCGAGAGGAAGACGUGGAGAAAACCGCAUUCCGAACUCGUUAUGAACAUUAUGAGUUCGUGGUGAUGCCGUUUGGACACACCAACAUGCCAGCAGUAUUUAUGGAUCUGAUGAAUUGGGUCUGCAGACUGAUGCUUGACCGCUCUGUCAUAGUGUUUGUAGAUGAUAUUUUUGUGUAUUCCAAGACCCGAGAGUAGCAUGAGGAGCAUUUACGAGAGCUGCUGGGAGUUUUGAGGCAGGAACGGCUGUAUGCCAAGUUCUCGAAGUGUGAGUUUUGGUUACGAGAGGUCUAGUUCCUCGGGCAUCUCGUUAACAAGGAAGGGAUUUUGGUCGAUCUGGCCAAGAUCGAGGCGGUUAUGCAGUGGGAGGUUCUGAAGUCUCCCACAUAUAAUAGGAGCUUUCUGGGAUUAGCAGGAUACUACCGGAGAUUCAUCCGGGAUUUCUCCAAGAUUGCAGUACCCCUCACUCAUCUGACAAGGAAAGGGGUGGAUUUUCCGGUGGGGCCCCGAGCAGCAGAGGGCGUUUGAGACCCUCCAUCAACGUUUGUGUGAGGCACCAGUCUUGACACUCCCGGAGGGGGUUGAAGAUUUUGUGGUAUUCUGUGAUGCAUCUAUCAUAGGUCUAGGGGCGAUCCUCAUGCAGAGAGGAUGAGUGAUAGCCUACGCAUCGCGGCAGCUGAAGCCGCAUGAGACGAGAUACCCUACGCAUGACCUGGAGCUGGGGGCGGUGGUGAUCACCCUCAAGAUAUGGAGACAUUACCUUUAUGGGGUCCGAUGUACCAUUUAUACGGAUCACAAGAGCUUGAGACAUAUCAUGGAUCAGCCGAACCUGAACAUGAGGCAGCGCAGGUGGCUGGACGUAGUCAAGGACUACGAUUGUGAGAUCCUUUACCACCCUGGUAAAGCGAAUGUGGUUGCGGAUGCUUUGAGCCGCAAGUCGGCUGGGUCUUCCACCCCCGCAACAUGUAUGAGGAUUGCAGUGGAUUCCCCGCUUAUGAGUUUGAUCAGAGAUACCCAGAUAGAGGGCAUGCGCUCAGAAAAUUUAAAGCUGGAAAGGAUCAAGGGUGAGAACACCAGGUUCGUGCAGGACAGUCGGGGAUUACUGAACCGAUGUGGUCAGGUUUGGGUCCCGAUGUCUGGAGGGGUUAGGUAGAUGGUUAUGGAGGAGGCCCAUAAGUCUCACUUCUCUAUUCACCCGGGGGCCACCAAGAUGUACCAGGAUUUUAGUUUGAACUAUUGGUGGCCGUGUAUGAAGCGCGAAAUUGCUUGGUACGUCGAGAGGUGCUUGACCUGUAGGAUGGUCAAGGUCGAGCAUCAGUGGCCGCAUGGCAAGCUGCAGCCCCUGAAGAUUCCCAUGUGGAAAUGGGAGCAGAUCACGAUGGACUUUAAUCAUAAAGCAGCCAAAGACAGCGAAGGGGUUUGAUGCCAUUUGGGUCAUCGUGGAUCGAUUGACCAAGAGUGCCCAUUUCUUGGCCAUACAGGAGAGUUCGUCGGCCGAGAAGCUGGCCAAGGUGCAUGUUCGCGAGAUCGUGUCUCGCCAUGGGAUUCCCGUUUCCAUUGUCUCUUAUCGGGAUGUCAGGUUUACCUCCCGCUUUUGGCAAAAGUUUCACGAGGAGCUGGGCACACGAUUGCAUUUCAGCACAACCUUCCACCCGCAGACAGACAGGCAGAGCGAGCGUACUAUUCAGACCCUCGAGGACAUGCUGAGGGCAUGUGUCAUCGACUUCGGUGGGAGUUGGGAUUCUCAACUACCGCUUGCAGAGUUCGCCUAUAACAAAAACUAUCAUUGUAGUCUUGGUUCCCUACCAUUCGAGCUUUUGUACGGGCGGAGGUUUCACUCCCUGGUUUGUUGGGGCGAGGUGGGUCACAGGGUGAUGGGUCGGACAGAGGUGGUCAUGCAGACUACAGAAAAGAUCUAGCAGAUCAGGCAGCGACUGCAGACAGCUCAGAGUCGGCAGAAAAGUUAUGCCGACCGACGCCGAUCUGAGCUGGAAUUUCAGGUGGGUGACAUGGUUCUUCUGAAGGUCUCACCCUUUAAGGGCGUGAUCCGCUUCAGGAAGAGGGGAAAAUUGGGUCCCCGUUACAUUGGACCGUUCAGGAUUAUUUCCAGGGUCGGCAGGGUGGCUUAUAGACUAAAACUUUCGGAGGAGCUUAGCCGGAUCCACAACACAUUUCAUGUCUCGCAAUUGUGGAAAUGUAUUACGGACCGGGAGGCAGUGGUAUCAUUGGAUGACAUUCAGGUCGAUGAGCCCCUGAACUAUGUGGAGGGGCCUGUGGCCAUUUUGGAAAGGAAGAAGAAGAUUCUGCGGAACAAGGAAAUACCUUUAGUGAAGAUACAGUGGGAACAUCGAAAGGGAUCCGAGUGGACAUGGGAACCGGAGGCGGAGAUGCGCUAGCAUUACCCGACAUUGUUUAUACCUGCGGACUUCGACGGUGAAGUCUAGUUCAAGUGGGGGAGAGUUGUAACACCCCAAAUUCUCAGGUAUUGUCUAAAUGCGAGUUUUAGGGUUAAGCCCUACUCGACGAGUCGGUGGAUUUGCUUGUCGAGUAGCGGUGGGAAGGAUCGUGAGUUAAGUGAACCACUCGACGAGUCCAUGUUUGGACUCGGCGAGUAGGAGCUGGCGGCUAAAACCCUAAAUCCUGGUGUGGUGCACCCUAUUUCAGGGAACAAAAGCCUCUUUCAGCCUCUUUGCAAUCUCUUAUCAAACCCUAAUACGUGUGUGUGCAUGUGUAUUGUGUGUUUGAAGCCUUGGAAGGGGAUUUUGGUGAAAAGAGCUUGGGAAGCAAGUGGUUUGAAGCAAGGAGCUUGGGGGAAAUCCAGAUCUACUUCAUUUGUCAUCUCUUGGGAAGGUAUCCAGCUAUUAUCCUCAUUUUAUUUCGUUCUAGACCUCCUUGGUUGGAGAUUAGGAUUCUUAGUUGGAUUAUAAAGUCAUUUUCUAGGGUAUAAGCCAAGAUCUGAAGUUGGAACUUCAGAUCUAAACUCUCUAAGGAUUAAGGGACCAUAAAGUUAUUCGUUUUGGUAAGUUUGAGUCCCUCCCUAUGUGUAAAAAAACCCAUUUCAAGCAUAGUUUGGGCUUUUUGAGACAUUGGCGCCUUGCAUGCACGUAAAGUUUGCAACUUUACGUGAUAAGCAGGCCUAAGGAGGUUGGAUCUAUAAUUUGGGGCCUUGCCAUGGCUUAAAAGUUGUGUGCAUGAUAAAAUGAAUAAAUGAACUCGGCGAGUCGCACAGUUGACUCGGCGAAUCACUUGAAGAUGGUCAUGAACUCGGCGAGUUGGAAGAAUAACUCGGCGAGUCCGUUGAAGAUUCCCAUAACACUCGACGAGUUGAAGAACAACUCAGCGAGUCGGAUGAGUUUUAACUAGGACACAUUUUCAUGUAUGUCCGUCGAGUUCAAGGAGGGAAGUCAACGAGUGGCCUUAAGGGUUGAUCGAAGAUUCGAAGGAACUCGACGAGUCACUCCGAUGACUCGACGAGUUGGAAUGUGCUCCAGAAAACUCGGCGAGUACCCAUGUGUACAAAGCGAGUUAAGGUCAACACAUACUAUUGACCUUGAUUGGGGACCUUGACUAUGACCAGGGAUUGACUAGUGGUUUAUGGAGCACCUUAUAAGGUGAAGGACUUAUGAGCAUGUCAUAUUAUGGUAAUAGGUGGUGGAGUCUUUGACAAGUGAUCGGAGAGCUUUGAUUAUUUACCGAGCUGACAUCUUCGAGGUGAGUUAUCCUCACUAUACUAAGGGGUCUAAGGCACCAAGGCCGACCCAUUGGAUAUGCUAUCCUAGUAGUGUUAAAUGUUGAGUAUGAGUUAGUGUUGCAUGCUAGUGGUUAUUCACUAUACUAAGGGGUCUAAGGCACCAAGGCCGACCCAUUGGAUAUGCUAUCCUAGUAGUGUUAAAUGUUGAGUAUGAGUUAGUGUUGCAUGCUAGUGGUUAUUCAAGUUAGGUAGACAUGUAGGACUACCUGUGAUGUUAUAUGAUUAUUGCAUGCUCAGUAGUUAUGUUAUAUGUUAUGUGGGUUGGGUUGAGGUUGUACUGCUCCAUGCGGUAGCCAACAAACCCUUGAGUAUUCCAGAUAUCAGAUGAGGGCCCGGUAGGCAUUCCAGAAUCAUACUGAGGACUCGGGAGUAUGCUAGAUAUGAGCUGAGGGCCCGGUAGGCAUUUCGGACUCAUACUGAGGACUCAGGAGCAUUCCAGAUACGAGCUGAGGGUCCGGUAGGCAUUCCAGACUUGUACUGAGGGCUCGAUGGCAAUCCAGAUACGAGCUGAAGGCCUGGUAGGCAUUCCAGACUCGUACUUAGGGCUUGGUGGCAAUCCAGAUGUGAGCUGAGGGCUCGGUAGGCAUUCCAGACUAACACAGUGGGCCCAGGGGUAUUCCAGUCUGUAGAGUUGUGGACCCGUUACUUGUUGUUCUGUUUUAUUGAUAUGAUAUGCUAAUGUUGAUAUUGCUAUGUGGACUGUAUGUGUAUCGGUAUUUUGGGGGUAACUCACUAAGCUUUCGGGCUUACAGUUUCAGUUUAUU